CCCAAUAUACUGUGUUUCCCAAUAAAAUUUACCUGAGGAUCAGAGGAAAAAGCCACCCACUAUAUUAGCAUAGACGUCAGGCAAUGGUAGCUCACACCUUUAAUCCUUUCACUUGGGAGGCAG
This is a non-coding RNA of Peromyscus maniculatus bairdii (prairie deer mouse), 123 nucleotides long. Lineage: Eukaryota; Metazoa; Chordata; Mammalia; Rodentia; Cricetidae. The record is from RefSeq and is a predicted model, not a curated record.